RNAcentral lists this long non-coding RNA (267 nucleotides) under Nicotiana benthamiana. RNAcentral's name for it is "long non-coding RNA (NBEN_LNC001472)". Lineage: Eukaryota; Viridiplantae; Streptophyta; Magnoliopsida; Solanales; Solanaceae. The record is from RNAcentral.
AUUUCUUUUCUUAAAUAACUUUUACCGUUUGAAUCUGAAUUCAUUAAUUAAAGGAAGUCUUACGUUGAUUGAUUUUUAAUUGAUAUUCAGUUCCUUAAUUGUUUUCUUACCUUAUUUCGGCUUGCUUUUCUCGCUAUACAUGCACAACUCUUUCAUUGAUACAGACACCAUCAGUCAUUCAUAGUCUUUCUGAACUUAUACUUGUACACAAUAGUAUUCUCUCUUCUUGUCUGCAUUGUGGCUUGUUUACAAGACCUACUGCUUUUC